Molecule: transfer RNA, 71 nt
Filed under: Trachinus draco (greater weever)
Lineage: Eukaryota; Metazoa; Chordata; Actinopteri; Perciformes; Trachinidae
Also listed under: 1 other name
Description: tRNA-Asp
Rfam family: tRNA
About the family: Transfer RNA (tRNA) molecules are approximately 80 nucleotides in length. Their secondary structure includes four short double-helical elements and three loops (D, anti-codon, and T loops).
Source: RNAcentral
AAGAUACUAGUAUAAGCUCAAUACACUGCCUUGUCAAGGCAGAAUUGUAGGUUAAAACCCUGCGUAACUUG